RNAcentral lists this ribosomal RNA (550 nucleotides) under uncultured bacterium. Its description in RNAcentral is "bacterial SSU rRNA". It matches the Rfam family "Archaeal small subunit ribosomal RNA", at positions 728 to 1276 of the family's 1478-position model. The record is from RNAcentral.
AAUAGAUACCCAGGUAGUCCUAGCCGUAAACGAUACUCGCUAGGUGUCGGCCACGGUGCGACCGUUGUCGGUGCCGUAGGGAAGCCGUGAAGCGAGCCACCUGGGAAGUACGGCCGCAAGGCUGAAACUUAAAGGAAUUGGCGGGGGAGCACCACAACGGGUGGAGCUUGCGGUUUAAUUGGAUUCAACGCCGGAAAUCUUACCGGGACCGACAGCAAUAUGAAGGCCAGGCUGAAGACUUUGCCGGAUUAGCUGAGAGGUGGUGCAUGGCCGUCGUCAGUUCGUACUGUGAAGCAUCCUGUUAAGUCAGGCAACGAGCGAGACCCACGCCCACAGUUGCCAGCGUACUCUCUGGAGUGACGGGUACACUGUGGGGACCGCCGCUGCUAAAGCGGAGGAAGGAAUGGGGCAACGGUAGGUCAGUAUGCCCCGAAUAUCCCGGGCUACACGCGAGCUACAAUGGUUGGUACAAUGGGUAUCUACCCCGAAAGGGGACGGGAAUCUCCUAAAACCAAUCUUAGUUCGGAUUGAGGGCUGCAACUCGCCCUCA